RNAcentral lists this ribosomal RNA (253 nucleotides) under uncultured bacterium. RNAcentral's name for it is "partial 16S ribosomal RNA". It matches the Rfam family "Bacterial small subunit ribosomal RNA", at positions 524 to 776 of the family's 1533-position model. The record is from RNAcentral.
UACGUAGGGUGCAAGCGUUGUCCGGAUUUAUUGGGCGUAAAGAGCUCGUAGGCGGUUUGUCGCGUCUGCUGUGAAAGCCCGAGGCUCAACCUCGGGUCUGCAGUGGGUACGGGCAGACUAGAGUGCGGUAGGGGAGAUUGGAAUUCCUGGUGUAGCGGUGGAAUGCGCAGAUAUCAGGAGGAACACCGAUGGCGAAGGCAGAUCUCUGGGCCGUUACUGACGCUGAGGAGCGAAAGCGUGGGGAGCGAACAGG